UCCGAGUUGGUGCAACGGCUAACAUACCUCGCUCUCAAUAUGACUGCACCGAGGAGAUCCGGGUUCGAUUCCCGGACUCGGAA
RNAcentral lists this transfer RNA (83 nucleotides) under Trichoglossum hirsutum. It matches the Rfam family "tRNA". From Rfam's summary of the family: Transfer RNA (tRNA) molecules are approximately 80 nucleotides in length. Their secondary structure includes four short double-helical elements and three loops (D, anti-codon, and T loops). Further hydrogen bonds mediate the characteristic L-shaped molecular structure. tRNAs have two regions of fundamental functional importance: the anti-codon, which is responsible for specific mRNA codon recognition, and the 3' end, to which the tRNAs corresponding amino acid is attached (by aminoacyl-tRNA synthetases). tRNAs cope with the degeneracy of the genetic code in two manners: having more than one tRNA (with a specific anti-codon) for a particular amino acid; and 'wobble' base-pairing, i.e. permitting non-standard base-pairing at the 3rd anti-codon position. The record is from Rfam by way of RNAcentral. Lineage: Eukaryota; Fungi; Ascomycota; Geoglossomycetes; Geoglossales; Geoglossaceae.